GGCGGACGGGUUAGUAACGCGUGGGAACGUGCCCUUCUCUACGGAAUAGCCUCUGGAAACGGAGAGUAAUACCGUAUACGCCCUUUGGGGGAAAGAUUUAUCGGAGAAGGAUCGGCCCGCGUUAGAUUAGGUAGUUGGUGGGGUAACGGCCUACCAAGCCUACGAUCUAUAGCUGGUUUUAGAGGAUGAUCAGCAACACUGGGACUGAGACACGGCCCAGACUCCUACGGGAGGCAGCAGUGGGGAAUCUUAGACAAUGGGGGCAACCCUGAUCUAGCCAUGCCGCGUGAGUGAUGAAGGCCUUAGGGUCGUAAAGCUCUUUCGCCUGUGAUGAUAAUGACAGUAGCAGGUAAAGAAACCCCGGCUAACUCCGUGCCAGCAGCCGCGGUAAUACGGAGGGGGUUAGCGUUGUUCGGAAUUACUGGGCGUAAAGCGCGCGUAGGCGGAUUAGAAAGUUGGGGGUGAAAUCCCGGGGCUCAACCCCGGAACUGCCUCCAAAACUGCUAGUCUAGAGUUCGAGAGAGGUGAGUGGAAUUCCGAGUGUAGAGGUGAAAUUCGUAGAUAUUCGGAGGAACACCAGUGGCGAAGGCGGCUCACUGGCUCGAUACUGACGCUGAGGUGCGAAAGUGUGGGGAGCAAACAGGAUUAGAUACCCUGGUAGUCCACACCGUAAACGAUGAAUGCCAGUCGUCGGAUAGUAUACUAUUCGGUGACACACCUAACGGAUUAAGCAUUCC
This 737-nucleotide ribosomal RNA is filed under the name uncultured Phaeobacter sp. RNAcentral describes it as "bacterial SSU rRNA". It matches the Rfam family "Bacterial small subunit ribosomal RNA", at positions 97 to 870 of the family's 1533-position model. The record is from RNAcentral. Lineage: Bacteria; Pseudomonadati; Pseudomonadota; Alphaproteobacteria; Rhodobacterales; Roseobacteraceae.